GUGUGGACCUGAGGAGUUAUCUUUCAAGUUUUUUCUGUAGGUAUAGGUAAUUGGUGUUGAGACGGUUGGGUUGAGACGGGCUUCUGCUUCAAGCAUUGUUCCUAAGGCUCUGAAGAAAUGUGAUGUGGCAGUGUAAGGGGUGUUCCGUUGCAGUAGCUACAUCACCAUCAUUACAUGAUUCUUCAGCUGAUUGCCAGGAUGAGGAGUUUGUGGAAGAGGAAGUUUAUGUUGCACCCCUAGAUAAAUGCAGAAUUUAAGCGCAUUACCACCAUGCCCCUGCAAUCCAGAUUUCUGUCACAGCUGGAUGUACGAUCUGACAAACUUCUAAAGCUAUUCGGAAAAACGAGGAGGACAGAUAGGCAAGCGUCUUGAGAGAACUUUGGCCCCCAUGACUCAAGACGAUGACGUUGAUGCAGGGCGGGAAUGUGUUCUCAAGUGGCUGUGUGUGUACCUCAACGAAGACCCAGCAAAUCUUGUCAGGGAGUUCGUGGUGAGUGAAGUUAUUUUACCGAUUUUGAUAUUUUGUUGAACACCAAAAUGCGUAGUUAAAGGGGACCUAUUAUGCUUUUUCGACUUUUAUGACCUAUAAACGUUGUUAUAAUGAUUGAUAGUCAUGUUUAACCAUACACAAAAAACAAUGUCGAUUUUCGGGAAACUCUUCCUCUCAUCUGGGCGCUUACAGCAUUCUCUGUCAACGCUCGGUUUCGUCCUUCUCCGCCCCCUCGCCCCCCUCCUGCCAACCCAACUCCAUUGUGAUUGGUUACCUUCCUUGAAGCGCGCGCGGGCAGAUUUGACCAGGCAUAAGGGGGCGUGGCAGAAGAGCCUCUACGUAGAUGAUUUCCCGGAAAUGUGAACAAGUGAAUC
Molecule: long non-coding RNA, 864 nt
Organism: Gadus macrocephalus (Pacific cod)
Lineage: Eukaryota; Metazoa; Chordata; Actinopteri; Gadiformes; Gadidae
Exons: 6
Source: RefSeq, a predicted model, not a curated record